AAUACAGAGGGUGCAAGCGUUAAUCGGAAUUACUGGGCGUAAAGCGAGCGUAGGUGGCUUGAUAAGUCAGAUGUGAAAGCCCCGGGCUUAACUGGGAACGGCAUCUGAUACUGUUAGGCUAGAGUAGGUGAGAGGAAGGUAGAAUUCCAGGUGUAGCGGUGAAAUGCGUAGAGAUCUGGAGGAAUACCGAUGGCGAAGGCAGCCUUCUGGCAUCAUACUGACACUGAGGUUCGAAAGCGUGGGUAGCAAACAGGAUUAGAUACCCUGGUAGUCCACGCCGUAAACGAUGUCUACUAGUCGUUGGGUCCCUUGAGGACUUAGUGACGCAGCUAACGCAAUAAGUAGACCGCCUGGGGAGUACGGCCGCAAGGUUAAAACUCAAAUGAAUUGACGGGGGCCCGCACAAGCGGUGGAGCAUGUGGUUUAAUUCGAUGCAACGCGAAGAACCUUACCUGGUCUUGACAUAUCUAGAAUCCUGCAGAGAUGCGGGAGUGCCUUCGGGAAUUAGAAUACAGGUGCUGCAUGGCUGUCGUCAGCUCGUGUCGUGAGAUGUUGGGUUAAGUCCCGCAACGAGCGCAACCCUUGUCCUUAGUUACCAGCGGUUUGGCCGGGAACUCUAAGGAUACUGCCAGUGACAAACUGGAGGAAGGCGGGGACGACGUCAAGUCAUCAUGGCCCUUACGACCAGGGCUACACACGUGCUACAAUGGUAGGUACAGAGGGCAGCUACACAGCGAUGUGAUGCGAAUCUCAAAAAGCCUAUCGUAGUCCAGAUUGGAGUCUGCAACUCGACUCCAUGAAGUAGGAAUCGCUAGUAAUCGCGGAUCAGAAUGCCGCGGUGAAUACGUUCCCGGGCCUUGUACACACCGCCCGUCACACCAUGGGAGUUGAUUGCACCAGAAGUGGUUAGCCUAACCUUUUAGGAAGG
This 928-nucleotide ribosomal RNA is filed under the name Psychrobacter sp. 27F07n-MB2-2. RNAcentral's name for it is "bacterial SSU rRNA". It matches the Rfam family "Bacterial small subunit ribosomal RNA", at positions 522 to 1450 of the family's 1533-position model. Lineage: Bacteria; Pseudomonadati; Pseudomonadota; Gammaproteobacteria; Moraxellales; Moraxellaceae. The record is from RNAcentral.